This 114-nucleotide ribosomal RNA is filed under the name Salvator merianae (Argentine black and white tegu). Lineage: Eukaryota; Metazoa; Chordata; Lepidosauria; Squamata; Teiidae. The record is from RNAcentral.
GACUUCACCCGUCUUUCAUUUACUCACUGGUCUCCUGGUCCCGGAAGCUAAGAAGGAUUGGGCCUGGCUGGUACUUAGGUUGGAGAGGCCUUUGGAAAGCAGGUGCUGUAAGCU